UCCUAAGUCAUCCAGAAUAUUAGAAAAGUUCUACUAGAAGUAUAUGUUCUCUGUUAUUCAAUAUUAAUUCCUAAGCUUGUGACUUGAGUAUACUUCCAUUCAUAAGCUUUUUUUUUACGUUUAGAGGAAAAUGAGGAGCAUUAUACUUUACGCAUAUACCUUUGUUUGUAUCUUAUAAGAUGGAAUUUUCCAUAUAUAUGGAUACAAAUGAACUUAACUCCGAAGAUGGUUACCUUCGAAAAGUAGUCUUAAAGGCCAUGGUGAAGAAGAAGAAUAAGAGAAAGUGUCCUCAGUACGUAGCUGUACGAGAAAGUACUGAAACCAGGGAAGAAAAUGGACAUGGGAGAGAUCUAUAAUUAAUCUUACAAUCGAUAUAUUGGUAGCAGUUCAGACAUGAUUUCUUACUUUGGAGCAAUGCGAAACACCAUCUACAAUUAAGGUCUUCGGAAUUAAAAGGAUUAAAAGUCUAUUCCUACUUCACCAACACCGUGAUACUAGAGACUUGAAAGCAAAUGUUAAGGGAAGACCAAGCUAUAGAAACCCUCAUCCGAAAGUUUCUAUAUUGGACAUAGUCCCUCUCGGCUAAGGCAUGGUAGAUUAAAAGAGAUGUGUGU
Molecule: long non-coding RNA, 614 nt
Organism: Cannabis sativa
Lineage: Eukaryota; Viridiplantae; Streptophyta; Magnoliopsida; Rosales; Cannabaceae
Exons: 3
Source: RefSeq, a predicted model, not a curated record